Long non-coding RNA from Lolium perenne, 1362 nucleotides. RefSeq lists it as uncharacterized. Lineage: Eukaryota; Viridiplantae; Streptophyta; Magnoliopsida; Poales; Poaceae. The record is from RefSeq and is a predicted model, not a curated record.
GAUCGGGCCACAUGUGAGAUGGCGGGGCGUGGUCUGCGUGACUCCAUGAGAUCCAUGGACAUCGGCUCUUCGUACGGCGUGGGGAUGCGCAAUGGCUCGGUGACAGAAAGCAUGUGUUGCAGGCCAGCGGGCAGAGGAGGGAACCCUCGGCUACGGUCACAGUCGGUGUGGUAUGGCUCCUUAUCGACAUCACAAUCCCCUACGUCUGUUCUACUUCCCUUCAGCUUAAGAAUCACAAGAAGGUGAUCUGGAGGAGGGAGAUGCUCCAGGUUUUAGAGCAUCACUGGUUAUGCCUAUAUGGAGGUUUACCAUUCAUCAUCUUGUGCAUGCCAAUGGUGGCGUGUUUUCUUGUGCUCGUUUGUUGAAUUGCAAAGAAGAGAAGCGGAAGAUCCGAUGAAAGAGUUUGUUGAUGAUCAUGCCAAUCAGGUCUAACUUCUUGAAUGAUUUGCAUUCAUUGGAUCCAGAGUUAUAUUGGCAUAUUCUAUUCUUCAAGCAUUAUCAUCACGACCUCUUGGCGAUUUGAGGUGUGCACUUGAGCUAUUGGAAGAUAAUUCCAUCAAUGAAUUCAUACCUUUUUGGACAUAAUAAAUUCAGGUAAUAGCUCUUUAGUCUAAGAGAUCAGCAACAUUUCAUCACUCAUCUCGGUGUUUCUCAGCCUUAGUUGUUCAUGCUAUCGGGAGCUGCCAGCAUGCCAAACACUUACGCUGAGUUAAAGUUGCAAUACCUGCAGGACUACAUCGCGGUGACCCUCAAUUCUAGAAGGAGCGGGUCAAACGUACAGGUCUACUUCAUGCGGUCGUUGCUUGACAUGAUCAGGUACCUGUUCGGAUACAAAUGGGCUACGACCUCUACGGUGUUGACUUCAACUCCAAGGAGAGGACAAGAUUCAAUGGGUUACACACUUCCAAUAAAAAGUCUGAAGAUGUUGUUUUACUUUUUAAACAACAAGAGCAAAGGCUGCUACUGACUGCUGGGUUCCAGGAAUAGAAAGGAAGACUGAAUCUAUGUUUAGAAGCAUCAGUUUUGGCGGUCCAUCUUCUCCGAGCAAAGCCAUAGGCCAUGGACCCGCUGCUCUGCUCUAAUUUGGUAGCAGCCUUACAGUUGGCGAGAGAGCAGGGGACGGGGCUACCUUACAGGAGAUCUGGACGGUUUGGAGUUAGAAUGCCCAAAUCCUAAAUUUCUAUUUAACCCCUUUGCCUCAUUUAUAUGUAUUUUAUAGCUCCCAGAUAUAUGAGCUAUCUAGCUUAACACCAUCAGAGUAGAACUAAACAUACUAUUGCAAUAUGGGCUAUUUACUAUCGUGUGACCUUGUGAUUCUAUCAUCUGUGUUUGUGUUGUAUGACAAUGUAUUGCUAUUGGUGA